GCCGUCGUGGUGUAGUGGUCAGCACGCUCGACGCGUAUUCGAGAGGUCCGUGGUUCGAGUCCUGACGAGGGCA
Molecule: transfer RNA, 73 nt
Filed under: Stegodyphus mimosarum
Lineage: Eukaryota; Metazoa; Arthropoda; Arachnida; Araneae; Eresidae
Rfam family: tRNA
About the family: Transfer RNA (tRNA) molecules are approximately 80 nucleotides in length.
Source: Rfam by way of RNAcentral